Molecule: ribosomal RNA, 1468 nt
Filed under: uncultured bacterium
Lineage: Bacteria
Description: partial 16S ribosomal RNA
Rfam family: Bacterial small subunit ribosomal RNA
Source: RNAcentral
GACGAACGCUGGCGGCGUGCCUAACACAUGCAAGUCGAGCGAAGUAUAUUUAAGUGAAGUUUUCGGACGGAACUUAAAUAUAUCUUAGCGGCGGACGGGUGAGUAACGCGUGAGCAACCUGCCUUUCACAAAGGGAUAGCCUCGGGAAACUGGGAUUAAUACCAUAUGAAACUUAACUUUCGCAUGAAAGAUAAGUUAAAGCGAAUAAGCGGUGAAAGAUGGGCUCGCGUCCUAUUAGCUAGUUGGUGAGGUAACGGCUCACCAAGGCGACGAUAGGUAGCCGGCCUGAGAGGGUGAACGGCCACACUGGAACUGAGACACGGUCCAGACUCCUACGGGAGGCAGCAGUGGGGGAUAUUGCACAAUGGAGGAAACUCUGAUGCAGCGACGCCGCGUGAGUGAAGAAGGCCUUCGGGUCGUAAAGCUCUGUCCUAGGGGAAGAUAAUGACGGUACCCUAGGAGGAAGCCCCGGCUAACUACGUGCCAGCAGCCGCGGUAAUACGUAGGGGGCGAGCGUUGUCCGGAAUUACUGGGCGUAAAGAGUUCGUAGGCGGUCUGAUAAGUCAGAUGUGAAAGGCGUAGGCUUAACCUAUGUAAGCAUAUGAAACUGUCAGACUUGAGGUAAGGAGAGGAAAGUGGAAUUCCUAGUGUAGCGGUGAAAUGCGUAGAUAUUAGGAGGAAUACCAGUGGCGAAGGCGACUUUCUGGACUUAAACUGACGCUGAGGAACGAAAGCGUGGGGAGCAAACAGGAUUAGAUACCCUGGUAGUCCACGCCGUAAACGAUGAGUGCUAGGUGUCGGGUAGAAAUAUUCGGUGCCGCAGCUAACGCAAUAAGCACUCCGCCUGGGGAGUACGUACGCAAGUAUGAAACUCAAAGGAAUUGACGGGGGCCCGCACAAGCGGUGGAGCAUGUGGUUUAAUUCGAUGCAACGCGAAGAACCUUACCUGGGCUUGACAUGCUGGUGGUAGGAACCCGAAAGGGGGACGACCUUAGGGGUAACUCUAAGGAGCCAGCACAGGUGCUGCAUGGCUGUCGUCAGCUCGUGCCGUGAGGUGUUGGGUUAAGUCCCGCAACGAGCGCAACCCCUAUCCCCUGUUGCCAUCAGGUAAAGCUGGGCACUCUGGGGAAACUGCCGGCGACAAGCCGGAGGAAGGUGGGGAUGACGUCAAGUCCGCAUGGCCCUUAUGUCCAGGGCUACACACGUGCUACAAUGGGCGCUAUAGAGGGUAGCAAACCCGCGAGGGUGAGCCAAUCCCUAAAAAGCGCUCUCAGUUGGGAUCGGAGUCUGCAAUUCGACUCCGUGAACCCGGAAUCGCUAGUAAUCGCGCAUCAGCUACGGCGCGGUGAAUACGUUCCCGGGCCUUGUACACACCGCCCGUCACACCACGAGAGCUGGCUUCAUCCGAAGUUGGUGAGCUAACCCGUAAGGGAGGCAGCCAACGAAGAUGGGGCUGGUGAUUGGGGUG